UACGGAGGGUGCGAGCGUUAAUCGGAAUUACUGGGCGUAAAGGGUGCGUAGGUUGUCUAUUAAGUUAUCUGUGAAAUCCCUGGGCUCAACCUGGGCAGGUCAGAUGAUACUGGUAGACUAGAGUAUGGGAGAGGGCAGUGGAAUUUCCGGUGUAGCGGUGAAAUGCGUAGAGAUCGGAAGGAACACCAGUGGCGAAGGCGGCUGCCUGGCCUAAUACUGACACUGAGGCACGAGAGCGUGGGUAGCAAAC
RNAcentral lists this ribosomal RNA (250 nucleotides) under uncultured bacterium. Its description in RNAcentral is "partial 16S ribosomal RNA". It matches the Rfam family "Bacterial small subunit ribosomal RNA", at positions 524 to 773 of the family's 1533-position model. The record is from RNAcentral.